Molecule: ribosomal RNA, 459 nt
Filed under: uncultured bacterium
Lineage: Bacteria
Description: partial 16S ribosomal RNA
Rfam family: Bacterial small subunit ribosomal RNA
Source: RNAcentral
CCUACGGGCGGCAGCAGUGAGGAAUAUUGGUCAAUGGUCGGGAGACUGAACCAGCCAAGCCGCGUGAGGGAUGAAGGUACAGAGUAUCGUAAACCUCUUUUGUCAGGGAACAAAGGCGGGGACGUGUCCCCGGAUGAGUGUACCUGAAGAAAAAGCAUCGGCUAACUCCGUGCCAGCAGCCGCGGUAAUACGGAGGAUGCGAGCGUUAUCCGGAUUUAUUGGGUUUAAAGGGUGCGCAGGCGGUCUGUUAAGUCAGCGGUCAAAGCCCGGGGCUCAACCCCGGCCCGCCGUUGAUACUGGCAGUCUUGAGUUGGAGAGAGGUAGGCGGAAUGCGCGGUGUAGCGGUGAAAUGCAUAGAUAUCGCGCAGAACUCCGAUUGCGAAGGCAGCAUGCCGGCUCCACACUGACGCUGAGGCACGAAAGCGUGGGUAUCGAACAGGAUUAGAUACCCCUGUAGUC